GCUGAUGUAGCUCAGUGGUAGAGCACUUCCUUGGUAAGGAAGAGGUCAUGAGUUCAAUCCUCAUCAUCAGCU
Molecule: transfer RNA, 72 nt
Filed under: Prevotellaceae bacterium
Lineage: Bacteria; Pseudomonadati; Bacteroidota; Bacteroidia; Bacteroidales; Prevotellaceae
Description: tRNA-Thr
Rfam family: tRNA
About the family: Transfer RNA (tRNA) molecules are approximately 80 nucleotides in length. Their secondary structure includes four short double-helical elements and three loops (D, anti-codon, and T loops). Further hydrogen bonds mediate the characteristic L-shaped molecular structure. tRNAs have two regions of fundamental functional importance: the anti-codon, which is responsible for specific mRNA codon recognition, and the 3' end, to which the tRNAs corresponding amino acid is attached (by aminoacyl-tRNA synthetases). tRNAs cope with the degeneracy of the genetic code in two manners: having more than one tRNA (with a specific anti-codon) for a particular amino acid; and 'wobble' base-pairing, i.e. permitting non-standard base-pairing at the 3rd anti-codon position.
Source: RNAcentral